Molecule: long non-coding RNA, 485 nt
Organism: Lycium ferocissimum
Lineage: Eukaryota; Viridiplantae; Streptophyta; Magnoliopsida; Solanales; Solanaceae
Exons: 3
Source: RefSeq, a predicted model, not a curated record
CUGAAGUGAUUUUUUUUUAAAUUUAUAAAAGCCUAACUUCGUUAUAUUCAUUCCCACUUCGUUUUGGCCGAAUUUUUAAGAGGAAACAACCCUAGGGUUUCCCCAAAACAUAUAAGAUUCUUGAAACCAAAGAAAGAGAAGAAGAAAGGGAUGUUUGGAGACGUUGAGAUUCCUUCAAUAAGUGUGAUUGUAGAACCUUGGGAAUUAUGUUUGAGCGGGAUUUGAGGUAUGUCUAGAUUUUUCCAAAAAUCUUUCUUGAAGUAUGUCUAUAUUUCAAAAAUCAUCUUUGCAAGUAUGUCUACUUUUGAAGUACGUUUAUAUUGUGAAAGUAUGAUUUAUAUUUGAGAAUCCUUUCUUGAUUGUUUGUAUAAGUUAUAAAUCUUGUUUGGUGGAAGUUCUUUUGGAAUUAAAGAUGAUUUCUUUUAGACAAGGUCAUGUGUGUGUAGGGUCAAGCCCGCAUCGAACCUUAUAUGAACUAUACUACU